This 408-nucleotide ribosomal RNA is filed under the name uncultured bacterium. RNAcentral's name for it is "bacterial SSU rRNA". It matches the Rfam family "Bacterial small subunit ribosomal RNA", at positions 355 to 776 of the family's 1533-position model. The record is from RNAcentral.
UGGGGAAUAUUGGGCAAUGGAGGAAACUCUUACCCAGCAAUGCCGCGUGAGCGAAGAAGGUCUUCGGAUUGUAAAGCUCUUUGAUUGGGGACGAAGUAAGUGACGGUACCCAAGGAACAAGCCCCGGCUAACUAUGUGCCAGCAGCCGCGGUAAUACAUAGGGGGCGAGCGUUGUCCGGAAUUACUGGGCGUAAAGGGUGUGUAGGCGGUUUUUUAAGUUAGAAGUGUAAUACCCAGGGCUUAACUCGGGUGCUGCUUCUAAAACUGGAAGACUUGAGUGUAGGAGAGGAGAAUGGAAUUCCUAGUGUAGCGGUGGAAUGCAUAGAUAUUAGGAGGAACGCCGGAGGCGAAAGCGAUUCUCUGGACUACAACUGACGCUGAGGCACGAAAGCGUGGGGAGCAAACAGG